This 85-nucleotide transfer RNA is filed under the name Caldovatus sediminis. RNAcentral describes it as "tRNA-Arg". The record is from RNAcentral. Lineage: Bacteria; Pseudomonadati; Pseudomonadota; Alphaproteobacteria; Acetobacterales; Roseomonadaceae.
GCCGCGCUGGAGCGGAUGCUCGGCCGCUAUGCGUGAGCGGCCGGCGGCACGCCGGCGCACGCGGGUGUUCCCCGCCCGCGGGGCG